CUGUAAGGAAACCUGUGGAGGAAGAAACAUUCUCAUUGAAACAACUGAAGAUACAUAUCAGAGAGGCAGAUUCAGUAUCAGAUAUGAAAAACGAGAUAUUUUUUCUACUGAUUUUCUACAUGUGAGCAUAACAGAUCUGAAAACAACAGACUCAGGACGGUACCGGUGUCGCUCAGAUGAAACCUUUGAAGGAACUCUAUAUGAUAAUUUUAAUCUUGUUGUGACAGAAGCUUCUACCACAAGCGCAGCAACUACGUCAAGAAGAAGAACGACAGCAGCAACUCAGAGUCCGAGUUUCUCUCCUUCUCCAUCUGAAACCAUCAAACUCUCUGAGAAACCAGCUGCAGCUUCAGGUCUGCAGCUUUAUGUGGUUUUGUCUCUGGUCGUCAAGAUCAUCUUGUUAUCAACGCCUGUGGUUAUUUUCUGCAUGAAGAGGAGGGCCAUGAACAGCAGAGAGUUUUAUUAGUYCAGAACAAGUGUCUGUCGUCUGUCUGAAGCUUCAUUGGAUAUAUUGGAAGAAUCAACAGAGCAGUCAGAUCCCUAAACAGGAAGGAGUAAAAAUAAAGAUUCAGCAACAAAUUUACAGAAACAAGAAAGUUACUUAUAAACAUUAAACAUAUGUUCCUCUUUCAGCUGCAUAAUUUCUGGAGAGCAAAAUGUUUCCAACAUGCUCUGAUCAUCAGUCAGCUGUGGUUUUCUAGGACUUAAUCUCUGAUCUAAAUGUUUUUCAGAUUCUGCUGUGGAAACAGAGAACGAUGGGGUCAACCAGGAGUGUAUGAAUAUUUAUGAAGCACCAGAGUUUCUAUAAUCACCUCAGUGAAACAACUCAGAGAGAGAAGAGUUUACAUUUGUCAUUUUAAGACAUCCCCUCCCUAAUUUAUAAUAUCAUUAGAGCUGCUUACCAAGUACAAACAUGGUAAACUUUCAGGUUAUUUUAUACUUUUAUUUUUAAAUAUGUUUGUUUGAAGUGAUUUUCUGUCUUUUGUAAAUGUGAA
Molecule: non-coding RNA, 995 nt
Organism: Poecilia reticulata (guppy)
Lineage: Eukaryota; Metazoa; Chordata; Actinopteri; Cyprinodontiformes; Poeciliidae
Source: RefSeq, a predicted model, not a curated record